GGAGGUAAUGGUGGUGGUGGAGGAUCACAAUCAUCACCAAGGAUCCGAACUGUGGACAUAAAGCCGAAAAGGUGAGAGAGACUAACUACCUUUGACAAAGAAAGUGAAGUUAAAGCAAUUUCAUUUACUAAUAUAUGAGAGAACCACAUUGGAGAUUCCCUAAAGCAGUUUGGUUAAAGGAGCUUACCAUGGAAACCCAUUUUUUCAUUUGGGGGGGAGUUUAAGGUAUAGAUGGGAUGAAAAGAAGCAGGCAAUGCUUUCAAGUGUAAAUUGCAGAAGAAGCAAAAAAAAGAGACAUUUUGCUGUUGUGGUGUUGUAAGUAAUUCCAGCCACAGCUAAGACCAACC
This 347-nucleotide long non-coding RNA is filed under the name Linum usitatissimum (flax). RNAcentral's name for it is "long non-coding RNA (LUSI_LNC007685)". Lineage: Eukaryota; Viridiplantae; Streptophyta; Magnoliopsida; Malpighiales; Linaceae. The record is from RNAcentral.